Echinops telfairi (small Madagascar hedgehog) is the source of this 208-nucleotide long non-coding RNA. RefSeq lists it as uncharacterized. Lineage: Eukaryota; Metazoa; Chordata; Mammalia; Afrosoricida; Tenrecidae. The record is from RefSeq and is a predicted model, not a curated record. The transcript is spliced from 2 exons.
CGUGACGUCACGGUGGCGACGCUAUAAAUACACGCUCGCCUCACUUGCGGUCCGUUUUGUCUCGCGUGGCGUCGCUGCCUCCUUCUCUGGUCGCUGAUGCCGGAGCCUGCUGGCGAAGACGCCGGGACCCCGCGGGGAUGGUGGGGAGGGAGGGACAGAAAGGACGAUAGGCCCCCCUCUUCCCAUAAAGCUGUUCAUUGACUCAUUA